Molecule: long non-coding RNA, 3706 nt
Organism: Tympanuchus pallidicinctus (lesser prairie-chicken)
Lineage: Eukaryota; Metazoa; Chordata; Aves; Galliformes; Phasianidae
Exons: 2
Source: RefSeq, a predicted model, not a curated record
GCAGUGGACACAAGGGUAUUUUGCUUGAGAUUCCUGUGUAUCAGAUGCCUUUCAAAGGAGCAAAGUGGCAUUCAGGAUUCUUGGAGCAAGAAGUAAAGCUACUUGCAAGAUUCAAAUACUGUGCCUGAAGUUAAACCUGGAGAAGGAAGGGAAUAAGAAGCAGACAGCCGUAGAGCUGCAGCCACAGCCAAAUCAGCAUAAAAAGUAAAGAGGCACAACUGCAGAAUGGAAAGACUUUCUAGAAAAGCUGAAGGAAAAAGUCUAGUCUGGCAUUAAUGUCUUCACUGCAGAACUGUUAGAGUUGAACUGGCUGCAAGAGGCACUUCACAUGUUCAAGAGAUGCAAUCAGCAUGAAGCAUAAUGUGUAAUGUCACUGUUUCUCACCUCUUGAGUGCUAACAUAAAGCCAACAGCCUGUUGGAGAAAUGGCAUCAAUGUUAUGGUAAGGUUUAAUUACUAACAAAGUGCAAGACAUUUAAAAGGACAAUUUUUUUAUUUUAUUUUUUUUCCCCAUAAUAAAAAGUGAACAGGUGGAGCAGCACUCAAGAAAAAACAAACCUGCUAUGACUGGGAAAAUCCCUGCUUAGAAUUCUUGUAUAAAGCUACUUUUGAGUCACUCAGGAUGCAAGUCCAAGCCUCACGCAAUCAACAAAAUGGUUACAAGCUAUUUAAAAAUUCCGUGUGGAAAAUGAAACCAACAAGAAGGAAAACACCAGGAACAAGUGUCGUCAACACACUGGUGAAUGGGAAAUUGCAAAUACAAGCAAUGGAUGUGGGCUUAGUUGAGAGAAAUGUGCUUUUAUUGAUCUGUUUCUCUAGAGAAAUAGGAGGAGGAAGAGAAUAACAUCAGUGCUAAGAUAGAAAGAAAUGGAAGAGUUCUUCCCAAAGAAACUCAAGGUAUCAGAACUGUACACAAGAAGAAUCAGAUCUCCAAGAUGGGAAAUAGGUUUGAUUUGAUUAGCAGUAUAAUCAGCCCAUGUAUUUAGGGUGAUGACUUAGUGCAAAUGAUGUGCUGUGGGAAUUAAAGUGAGAAAUCAAACUGCUUUCAGCUGUAGGUAUGACACAAUAGUAAUCAAGAAGCAUUUGUCAUUAAGGUCCUUCAUGACUGUAAAAUCUUCAGUUAAACUUAAGAGUUAUUUAUGACUUUUUCCUUCAAAGUAGAGUCUGCAGAACUAAAAGUGUGCUCCAGGAACUAGAGAUGGAGUGGUUGAGGUCUUGAGUAGACAAAACACUUGCUUGAUGUUUACUUUGUCUUUCAAUUCUAAUCUUUGCAAUAAGUCUGCAUACAGUUUUUCUGAAGAGGAGUUUUUCUGCCCAGCAGGCACUGACAACAAAUUCUUAAAAUAUGUUCUGUGUUUGAUUACAGAAUACUUCAAACUCACUGCUAUCAGUAACCCAGAUACCAUUUUCUAUAAAAUUGCGGAGUUGGAUUACUAAUCUGGUAAUCAAGUAUGGCUUGUCUUUGGUUGCUCUAUUUAUGAGUCUGUUAAAGUUGCAUUCUCUAAGUUUUUGGUGGCUUUUUUUUUUUUUUUUUUUUUUUUUUUUAAAUGUAGAGUAGUCAGAGGUGGUAUUGUCUUCCCAUACUUCCAUAAACCUUACAGAGAUUUUCUCUUACAAUCCAUGAUAUUUAGCUGCAUGGUAAUCAAAACUAUUGCUACUUCUACUCUCCAUAUAUAUUCUUUUGCUGCACUCACAUCAGUACUGAAGUACUCCAAGUAUUGACAUUCUGGUGUACUUAACCUAUAGUGAGUAUUUGCUUUUGCAAUCUCUCUUCUAAAAAAACAAGCAGCCAUUUUUCUUUUUCUUCUCAACUAAUUAUUCAUGUCUUCUUAGUUUGAUAGAGAAGGGAAUUUAUGUCUAUAGUGGACCCAACAUGUGUGAGAACAUCAUUCAAUCUUAAACCACAUCAAUUCUAUCAUUUUUCCAGAUGUGCUGGUAUAGAGAAGAAUAAGUCUUACAAAUGAAGUUAUACAGAAGGUUGCUGUGUUCUGCUGUGAUCUUAUAGAGCAAACUUUCAAAGUGGCAUACUUAGAAUGCCAAACAAAUAAAACCCACUAUGCAGCUUAUGUUAUGUUCCAGGUUUUCUUCAUUGACUGUGUGAAUGCCAAACACAGUGCAUCUUUAAAACCAGAAAAAAACUGUCCAGCUAAAGAAAAAGUAGAUAUAGAAUUCCUUAUAACAAAAAGAUAAUGACAAAAGAGCCACAAAAAAUACACUUUGGUAGACAGCACAGUAAAAUAAAACUGAAUUAAACAAUAAUCAACACGUGUCAAAGCUGCCUAGAAUGUCUCACAGGAAAUGAGAGCAGCUCAGUUUAAACAUUUCUGUCAAGGGCACAGAAGGACGCAUCUAGGAUACAUUUGACUGUUGUCAGAGCCUUCAUCUUUGGUCCAAUGAUCCUCCUGACAUCCUAUUGAUAUGCUCAGACUACAGUCCAGGCAUGCCUCAGAAAGAUGACAUAGUGCUGUUUGUGUGUAGCUCUUUAGUCUCACAGCAAAUACCAGGGAGAUCCAGACUAUCCCUCUUCCUGUCACCCUUCUGUCAGAAAGUGGGCUCUUUUCUUCAACCCUGUCCUCAAGCUAUGCAGAUAUUCAGAUAUGAUACUGCAGGAUUAUGGAGGGCAUCAGACAGAGACAACUAUCUUACUGACUCAUUCAUUAGAGCUUAAAUUUGGACAUGGGGACAAGUCUACUGCUACUUGGUGACAUAAAUGAAAAUGACUCAUCUGUCUAUGUGGCAAUGAACUGAAUAGCUAAUAGACACCAGGAAGCAGAACACGGAGUACAAGUUCCUCACUAGAGGAGUGGAAGGCCCAACUUCUCUCAUUACACAGUAUGUGCCAGAUGAAUUCUGUUGCAAUGUGGUCCAGUUAUGCCUCUGCUCCUUGAAUAAAAAUCAAUCUUAAAGCAAAUAGCUCAGUGCUCAAACAUUGUAUUUGGAAGAGACAAAUACCAAUGCUAGUUUCAGAGCACAAGGAUUGGAUCGUGACCAUUGGUUGUUAUCAUUAUUUAUUGAAAGCAGCUCCUCAUCAGUUCUUGAGUUCUUAUAAACUAACUUUCUGGUACGCAUCCAAACCACUCUGAUUACAUUUCUUAAUAAAAAAUCAAUCAAAGCAAAUACAGAGAGGAAAUUCUCCUCUUAGCAGCUUGAAAAGAACAGAAAAAUUACAAAAACUCAAAUGGAUCUAACAGCUGAGAAGUGUGUUAAGAACAGAACAGAUAAGGGAGUAUUUUCAAUAUAAAAACAAACAUGAGUUUGCAAUUCUACACACUGCACAUAUAAAAUAAAUGAUUAAAGACUCUAGAGCCUGAUAAAGUGAUCUCUUCCAAACAUCUAAGCUGGAUGCCCUUCUUUCCAAAAAAUUUCUCAUCUGAACAUUUGUCAGUGAAUGAACUGCAAUUUACCUUCUUAGAUUGUGUGUCUGCAUAAGCCUAAAUUUAAUAUGGUUCAGAUUAUUGUUCUAGCACUUUACUACACGUUCCCCUUAUCUUGUUCUUUAACAUCCAAAUGUAUUUUUUGAAGUUCCUUUCACCUUUAAAUCAUCAGUCUAAUGCUAAUAUAUUCCCAUGACUAUGCUGAGGUCAUUACUGUAUAUUUUAAUAACAAUAUUCACUGUACAUUCUUUGUAAAAGGUCAUUAGGCUACUUUGUGAGUAUGGGGACAGAUGAUUGAGUGAUGAAGUAUUUAAAAAUGAUUUAUGCUAUUAA